Molecule: unclassified non-coding RNA, 345 nt
Filed under: soil metagenome
Description: partial contains 5.8S ribosomal RNA, internal transcribed spacer 2, and large subunit ribosomal RNA
Rfam family: 5.8S ribosomal RNA (bases 1-120)
Source: RNAcentral
GAUGAAGAACGCAGCGAAAUGCGAUACGUAAUGUGAAUUGCAGAAUUCAGUGAAUCAUCGAGUCUUUGAACGCACAUUGCGCCCCCUGGUAUUCCGGGGGGCAUGCCUGUCCGAGCGUCAUUGCUGCCCUCAAGCACGGCUUGUGUGUUGGGCCUCCGUCCUCCUCCCGGGGGACGGGCCCGAAAGGCAGCGGCGGCACCGCGUCCGGUCCUCGAGCGUAUGGGGCUUCGUCACCCGCUCUUGUAGGCCCGGCCGGCGCUUGCCGACACAUCAAUCUUUUUUCCAGGUUGACCUCAGAUCAGGUAGGGAUACCCGCUGAACUUAAGCAUAUCAAUAAGCGGAGGA